AAAGCCCCCUUCGGGGGGCAAGUAGAGUGGCGCACGGGUGAGUAACACGUAGGUAAUCUACCUUUGGAUGGGGAAUAACAACCGGAAACGGUUGCUAAUACCGCAUAAUGCAGCGGCACCUAAUGGUGACAGUUGUUAAAGCGGGGGAUCGCAAGACCUCGCGUCUGAAGAGGAGCCUGCGGCGGAUUAGCUAGUUGGUAAGGUAACGGCUUACCAAGGCUAUGAUCCGUAGCCGGCCUGAGAGGGCGGUCGGCCACACUGACACUGACAUACGGGUCAGACUCCUACGGGAGGCAGCAGUCGGGAAUUUUGGGCAAUGGGCGCAAGCCUGACCCAGCAACGCCGCGUGAAGGAUGAAAUCCUUCGGGAUGUAAACUUCGCAAGAACAGGAAGAAUAAGUAAGAGUUAAUAUCUCUUACGAUGACGGUACUGUUUGUAAGCUCCGGCUAACUCCGUGCCAGCAGCCGCGGUAAUACGGGGGGAGCAAGCGUUGUUCGGAUUUACUGGGCGUAAAGGGCGCGUAGGCGGCCACCGCAAGUCGACUGUGAAAUCUCCGGGCUUAACCCGGAAAGGUCAGCCGAUACUGCGGGGCUAGAGUGCAGAAGGGGCAACUGGAAUUCUCGGUGUAGCGGUGAAAUGCGUAGAUAUCGAGAGGAACACCUGCGGCGAAGGCGGGUUGCUGGGCUGACACUGACGCUGAUGCGCGAAAGCUAGGGGAGCGAACGGGAUUAGAUACCCCGGUAGUCCUAGCCUUAAACGAUGAAUGCUUGGUGUCUGGGGUUUUAUAGUCCCCCGGGUGCCGUCGCUAACGCUUUAAGCA
RNAcentral lists this ribosomal RNA (820 nucleotides) under uncultured Actinomycetes bacterium. RNAcentral describes it as "bacterial SSU rRNA". It matches the Rfam family "Bacterial small subunit ribosomal RNA", at positions 70 to 866 of the family's 1533-position model. The record is from RNAcentral. Lineage: Bacteria; Bacillati; Actinomycetota; Actinomycetes.